GGGGAAUUUUCCGCAAUGGGCGAAAGCCUGACGGAGCAAGACCGCGUGGGGGAUGAAGGUUUGUGGAUUGUAAACCCCUUUUGAUUGGGAAGAAUACUGACGGUACCAAUCGAAUAAGCCUCGGCUAACUCCGUGCCAGCAGCCGCGGUAAUACGGAGGAGGCAAGCGUUAUCCGGAAUUAUUGGGCGUAAAGCGUCCGUAGGUGGUUUAGUAAGUCUGCUGUUAAAGCGCGGGGCUUAACUCCGUAUCGGCAGUGGAAACUACUAGACUAGAGUGUGGUAGGGGUAGAGGGAAUUCCCAGUGUAGCGGUGAAAUGCGUAGAUAUUGGGAAGAACACCGGUGGCGAAAGCGCUCUACUGGGCCAUAACUGACACUGAUGGACGAAAGCUAGGGGAGCGAAAGGGAUUANAUACCCCUGUAGUC
This 423-nucleotide ribosomal RNA is filed under the name uncultured cyanobacterium. RNAcentral describes it as "bacterial SSU rRNA". It matches the Rfam family "Bacterial small subunit ribosomal RNA", at positions 356 to 795 of the family's 1533-position model. Lineage: Bacteria; Bacillati; Cyanobacteriota. The record is from RNAcentral.